Molecule: ribosomal RNA, 429 nt
Filed under: Chloroflexota bacterium
Lineage: Bacteria; Bacillati; Chloroflexota
Description: Chloroflexi bacterium partial 16S ribosomal RNA
Rfam family: Bacterial small subunit ribosomal RNA
Source: RNAcentral
UGGGGAAUAUUGCACAAUGGGCGCAAGCCUGAUGCAGCCAUGCCGCGUGUGUGAAGAAGGCCUUUGGGUUGUAAAGCACUUUCAGCGGGGAGGAAGGUGAUAAGGUUAAUAACCUUGCCGAUUGACGUUACUCGCAGAAGAAGCACCGGCUAACUCCGUGCCAGCAGCCGCGGUAAUACGGAGGGUGCAAGCGUUCAUCGGAAUUACUGGGCGUAAAGCGCACGCAGGCGGUCUGUCAAGUCGGAUGUGAAAUCCCCGGGCUUAACCUGGGAACUGCAUUCGAAACUGGCAGGCUAGAGUGUAGUAGAGGGGGGUAGAAUUCCAGGUGUAGCGGUGAAAUGCGUAGAGAUCUGGAGGAAUACCGGUGGCGAAGGCGGCCCCCUGGGCAAAGACUGACGCUCAGGUGCGAAAGCGUGGGGAGCAAACAGG